AUGAACGCUGGCGGCGUGCCUAAUACAUGCAAGUCGAGCGAACGGACGAGAAGCUUGCUUCUCUGAUGUUAGCGGCGGACGGGUGAGUAACACGUGGAUAACCUACCUAUAAGACUGGGAUAACUUCGGGAAACCGGAGCUAAUACCGGAUAAUAUUUUGAACCGCAUGGUUCAAAAGUGAAAGACGGUCUUGCUGUCACUUAUAGAUGGAUCCGCGCUGCAUUAGCUAGUUGGUAAGGUAACGGCUUACCAAGGCAACGAUGCAUAGCCGACCUGAGAGGGUGAUCGGCCACACUGGAACUGAGACACGGUCCAGACUCCUACGGGAGGCAGCAGUAGGGAAUCUUCCGCAAUGGGCGAAAGCCUGACGGAGCAACGCCGCGUGAGUGAUGAAGGUCUUCGGAUCGUAAAACUCUGUUAUUAGGGAAGAACAUAUGUGUAAGUAACUGUGCACAGCUUGACGGUACCUAAUCAGAAAGCCACGGCUAACUACGUG
Molecule: ribosomal RNA, 496 nt
Filed under: uncultured bacterium
Lineage: Bacteria
Description: partial 16S ribosomal RNA
Rfam family: Bacterial small subunit ribosomal RNA
Source: RNAcentral